AUCCCUCUGUAUUUUCUAAGUGUGAUAUUGGGUUUCACAGUCAUGUGAGAUGUGCCUCCCUCGAACCCUGUCAUACCACCAGCACAUGACCCGUCCCACG
Callithrix jacchus (white-tufted-ear marmoset) is the source of this 100-nucleotide small nucleolar RNA. NCBI's taxonomy places the organism in Eukaryota, Metazoa, Chordata, Mammalia, Primates, Cebidae. The record is from Ensembl.